RNAcentral lists this ribosomal RNA (390 nucleotides) under Masirana ilweolensis. RNAcentral describes it as "partial large subunit ribosomal RNA". It matches the Rfam family "Bacterial large subunit ribosomal RNA", at positions 1928 to 2605 of the family's 2925-position model. The record is from RNAcentral. Lineage: Eukaryota; Metazoa; Arthropoda; Arachnida; Araneae; Leptonetidae.
AAGCCGCAGAAUUCUGUGCUAAGGUAGCAUAAUCAUUUGUCUUCCAAUUAAAGACUAGGAUGAAAGGUCAAACGAGUAAAAACCUUAAACACCAUAAUUCAUCAAAAUUGAAUUUUUUGUAAAAAUACAACAAUAAAAAAAAAAGACGACAAGACCCUGUCGAACUUAACCAAAGUUAUACUGGGGCAGUACUUCAAUAAAAAUUUUAAAACAAACAAUACAAAAAAAUCCUUUAAAAAUAAUUAAAAGUUACCGCAGGGAUAACAGCGCAAUUUUUUUUUAAAGCUCUUAUAUAAAAAUAAAAUUACAACCUCGAUGUUGAAUUAAUUUACCAAACACAAGCAAAAUUUUGUACGAAAGUCUGUUCGACUAUUAAAUAAUUACAUGAUC